AGGGUGUAAACGCUGCGGGCUUGGUGUUGGGGGUCCGUUAGUUGGGCGGCCCACGUGCCGGAGAGAAGUUGUUAAGCCUGCUGCUUGGGGAGGUAUGUCCGCAAGGAUGAAACUUAAAGGAAUUGGCGGGGGGAGGCACCGCAACGGGAGGAGCGUGCGGUUCAAUUGGAUUCAACGCCGAAAAACUACACCAGGAGCGACGGAUAUAUGAAGGUCAAGACUGAUGACUUUACCUUGAUUUCCGUAGAGGAGGUGCAUGGCGUGUGACUGU
RNAcentral lists this ribosomal RNA (271 nucleotides) under uncultured archaeon. Its description in RNAcentral is "partial 16S ribosomal RNA". It matches the Rfam family "Archaeal small subunit ribosomal RNA", at positions 748 to 1008 of the family's 1478-position model. The record is from RNAcentral.